CAAUCCAGAAACAUGAAGUGUCUGCAAUAGCAUUUCAGCCCUUUUGCUCUUAAGUCAAAGGUCCCAUACCAAUCUCAUGAGUGAAGCAUGGCCUAAUAGUUGAUGGCAGACCUUCAGAAGUGUUACCAGUUGCAACUAACAGAUGUCAGCACGCUUCACUUGCCGCAUCAACAAAGUAGGAAAGUAAGCAUCUAGAAUUUCAGGCGAGUUAAAUAAUUUUAGAGGAAUGGAACGAAAUUUUAAAUCUCACAGAUCACCCUUUUUUCUCUAUGGAAAAUCAAAACAAAAUCGAAAGCAAAUGAAAAAGUAUGAAGCUCAUAUAUAUGAUUAAUGGAAUCUACUCACAUAUCACCCUUUUUUCUCUUUUUCCCACC
RNAcentral lists this long non-coding RNA (374 nucleotides) under Actinidia chinensis (golden kiwifruit). RNAcentral's name for it is "long non-coding RNA (ACHI_LNC006451)". The record is from RNAcentral. Lineage: Eukaryota; Viridiplantae; Streptophyta; Magnoliopsida; Ericales; Actinidiaceae.